UUUAGUGUAAACCUACCUUAACCAGCCCCAAUUAAUAAUUGUUGACAUUCCAAACGAGCAAGGAAUUUUUUUAUUGUUUAUGUUUUUAACAAAAAUUGCAAUUUUUUAGUUCACAUUCCAUAAAAAUAUAAAAAAAUGGCACCCAAUAAAACUGAUUUCGACUUAACAGAUAGGGGCUGGGUUGAUUUGUAUGUUAAAAAAUGUGAAAACAUAAUGAAGGAGUUCACCGAAUAUGUUUAUGCUUUACAAAAUCAUUGUUUGAAAGAACAUAGUAAGAUUGUUGAUCUCGAUAAGCACUGUAAGCAGCUAAAAACAAAAUUGGUUGAAGAGAAACAAAAACAAAAGCCACAAGAUGUUAAAGGAGCUACUUUAUAUGCACCUUUAGCACCGAGCCCCAUAAAUAACGAUAUACUGAGUGUUACCAGAAUAUCAACACCUUCUAAAGCUGAUGCAGAUCGUACAACAAUAAGUGACGGCUCGCCGGCAUUUUUAAAUAUGGCUAUGGAUAGCGAACAAUUAAAUAUGGAAUCAUCUUGCGUUUUAAGCCCCGCACAACACCGUCAAGACAUAUUUUCUUCAUCCGAGCAGUUAAGUAGUCCGAAUCGCAGUUCUAUUGCCAUUGACAGUGCUUUACAACAUAACACAUCACCGACAUGUAAACUUAAAAGCAGCAAUGAAAACAAAAGUGCAUUAGGUUUUUUAAAAGCGCGCGGGCGCGUAGGCAAAACCCUGUAUAACGAUACGUAUGAACAUAAGCUACGUGAACAAAACCCAACAGCAAAUGAAAAUGAGAGGGAAAUGUUAAGGAAUAAAGCCAAGUUGCAAGCAAAGCGCUCGGAUUGGAUAGGAAAGGACAAAAAAAGUGAGGAACGCAAGGCUGGCUUGAAACGAAGCGCUAGCAAUCUAGAUGAGGUGCUACGCAAACGUAGCAUGAUGUCGUUGAGUAAAAGUGGCGAACGAAAAUUAAAACAAUCACGUUUAACACAAAUGGUCUCAAUGAAAUCGUUUAAAGCACAAAAUGAUAGCAUAUCAACUUCACCGGCAGAUGUGAGCGAUGCACAAAUAUUUGCAUUUUCGCCAACAGCAGCUACCACAAUACAAAGAAAGCUAGAUUUUCCAACAUUUUCCAAUGAUACCGACGAUAUAUUCCAAUUCAGCAGCGAUGAUGAUGAUGUUGAUGAACAAAGUGUCAAGAAAACAACCGUAAACAGCGCAAUAAAACAAAAUAUAAAAAAAUCGUAUGAUACAACAUUUUUUCAACCGAACGAAACAGAUAAAACUGAAAGUGUUUUGGCUAUCACACCAACAGCACCGCCAUUAAUUUGUAUAGAUGACUCAGAUGAUAAUGAACAUGGAACAGAUAGCAGAGUGCACUUUGGAAAGCUGACGACAGCGCAACAAGCCGCGCAAAAACCUACAAAAGCGACAAGUGUUAUUGUGAAAAAAGAAAAAUCAGGCACUGAGAAUUUAGCCACCGAAUUGGCAGCAGCAAUGCUAGCCGAAUGGGAGGAAGACGAGCCAGAUCAUGAGGACAUAAAAGCUGAAACGCCGCAAACAACAGCGAAACACAAAGCUAAAGCAGUUGAUGUAAAACGGCGUCUCUCACAACUACCUGCGGCGAAAAUUUCAAUCAAAGAACGCUACAAUAUCGAUUGUGAUGAGUGUCAAAAAUAUAUCGACUUUAUGGGCAGCAAUAUGAGUUUGUCUGAUAUUGAGGCGCAUCUACGACGCUGUACACUACACCGCACGGCUAAAGAUGACUUGCCAACAACGCCACCAAAUUACUGGAAUCCUUUGAUGCCAUCGUUCUCCGAAAAUGAUCCACGCAACAAAACGCUGUUAGAAGAUCCGUAUAUACAACGGAAACGUGGCAGCAAUAAAUUAUAGAAUUUUAAGGCCUUUAGGGCAUGACAUUUGUUUUUAAGUUUUAUAAGUUUCCACGUCUUGCUUGCUCGAUUUCAAUAGCGGUGAAGAGGGACUUGAAAUUGCCGGCACCGAAACCCUUUAAAGAGAGAAAAGAUAAAAUUUUAAUACAAUAACAGAAUAUAACAUAAAGGACUAGUGUUUAAAAGGUUUUUUCGAUGCGUCUCCAAGUAAUAUGAGUACAAAUGUAUGUACAUAAUAACGCCAACAUUCAUUCUAUGCAUUUAAGUGUCAUAUUAUGUAAACAAUGUGUGAUUAUAAAAUACAAAAACCAAAAUAAAAUAAUUGAUUACAACGAAAAGCUUAUUAAACAUUAAAGUCACUAUAAUAACUAUUCGAGUGCUUUGCGCUGCGGUGUAUUAAAGUGUGGCAACGAUAAAACAAAAUGCACACACUGCAAAG
Molecule: RNA transcript, 2325 nt
Organism: Zeugodacus cucurbitae (melon fly)
Lineage: Eukaryota; Metazoa; Arthropoda; Insecta; Diptera; Tephritidae
Gene name: AAC-rich mRNA clone AAC11 protein
Exons: 6
Source: RefSeq, a predicted model, not a curated record